AUACAUUGUUGGCUUACAAAUAUUUGGUUGCUUUGAGCGUUCUAGAAAUGCAAUUCGAACGCAUGAAAUUGAUAUUAUGUUUCGUAUUUUUGAAGAGCAGAUAGAACCGAAAAGACCAAAAAGUAAUACUGCAGAUCAUGUCAUACAAUUAAAAAAGUAUUAAAAACCUUUACAUAACCUUUAUAUCCCAUAACAGCAUUUUAUUAGAUUUGAUAACUAUGUAGGGUCAUCGCCAAAUACAACAUAUUCUUACAUCCAAUCCCCUAAAUCCCGUAUUGAAAUAUUAAUCGAAACAAAUACACAUACGAUUUUACGGGAACUAUCCAAAUGAAAAUCGUACAGCGCAUGCGGAUAGAUUCUUAAAAAAAUUAACGAAUCGGUUGAUGGAACUGAGAAAGCUGACAUGAAAAUUAAGAACGGAAAUAAUUAGGACACCCGGAACAACGAUAAUAUUAGAUAUGACACUUAAAUAUAUGCAGAUGGACUCACAAUCACAAGGAUUU
Molecule: long non-coding RNA, 503 nt
Filed under: Mytilus galloprovincialis (Mediterranean mussel)
Lineage: Eukaryota; Metazoa; Mollusca; Bivalvia; Mytilida; Mytilidae
Source: RNAcentral